AACUUUCAGCAACGGAUCUCUUGGCUCUCGCAUCGAUGAAGAACGCAGCGAAAUGCGAUAAGUAAUGUGAAUUGCAGAAUUCAGUGAAUCAUCGAAUCUUUGAACGCACCUUGCGCCCUUUGGCUAUUCCAAAGGGCAUGCCUGUUUGAGUAUCAUG
RNAcentral lists this ribosomal RNA (157 nucleotides) under Thelephoraceae sp. 'Taylor #2'. RNAcentral describes it as "5.8S ribosomal RNA". It matches the Rfam family "5.8S ribosomal RNA". Rfam says of the family: 5.8S ribosomal RNA (5.8S rRNA) is a component of the large subunit of the eukaryotic ribosome. The record is from RNAcentral. Lineage: Eukaryota; Fungi; Basidiomycota; Agaricomycetes; Thelephorales; Thelephoraceae.